This 1127-nucleotide ribosomal RNA is filed under the name Oradarea tridentata. RNAcentral describes it as "partial 28S ribosomal RNA". It matches the Rfam family "Eukaryotic large subunit ribosomal RNA", at positions 104 to 794 of the family's 3401-position model. Lineage: Eukaryota; Metazoa; Arthropoda; Malacostraca; Amphipoda; Calliopiidae. The record is from RNAcentral.
AAGCCCAGCGCAUAACCUCCCGGGCUACCAAGCCUGCGGCGGCAUGUUGCGUUAAAGGAAAGGUCGUUUAUAAGCCCUGCACAGCGUAUUCCUAAGUAUGGUUGGAAUCUUCCACUGUGUUUUAACGAACACAACGGCUCCAUAGAGGGUGACAGACCCGUGUGGCUACGUGGAUAUGUGUAUGGGUUCGGCUUUUUUCCUUGAGAGUCGCGUUGCUUGAACAUGCAGCGCUAAGCAGGUCGUAAACUCGACCUAAGGCUAAAUAUUUCCACAGAACCGAUAGCAAACAAGUACCGUGAGGGAAAGUUGAAAAGCACUCUGAAGAGAGAGUUAAAAGACCGUGAAACCGUUUAGAGUAUAAGCCAAUGGUAAUCCGGGAGGCAUGGAGCGCGCUAUUCCCUUGGGAGGAGCUAUCGCGUAUGGAAAAGUCUGAAGGAGUAGUGAGUGGCAUUGAGUUGAUAUCACGGCUGAAGAAAACUCACGGGAUAUUGGAGGUGACACAGGGCCGGGCACCCAUGAGAUGCUGGUCCGAGGCCUGUCUUGACUGAGCACACCUUUUACGACCAUACUUUAACGAGUUCUGCUUAUUAUACAGCCCACCACAAUGCUUUACGAGGUCACCCGCACGAGACGCGGCUGUGUGUUGUCGUGGCGAGCCCACUGGUAACUGCGGUUGUUCUAUCAGGGCCGGCCGACUUCCUCGUGUCCCAGAACGUGUGUUUGGUAUGAUCCUCUUGUGAAGGUUGUUUUCUGACUACCCUAAAGCCGGAAUGCAGGUCAGUACGUCGGGCUAAAGUGCGCGGUAGAUCUCCGCGUGGUCCCGUCGGUGGAGGGUAAGAGGUGAAUUAGUCCGGAGCCAUUGGUCACGUCUCGAAACACGGGCCAAGGAGCAUAGCAUGUGCGCAAGUCCAAGAGUCUCACAAAACUCGGAGGCGAAGUGAAAGCAAAUGGUGUGUCCGUGAUAUUCCUUCGGGGUGUUGCGGGCAGCUAGUAUAAGCGUAAUUCCUGUGCGGAUGACUGCGUAGUCCGGCUUAAACCGAGUUGAUCCAUCGUAAUAAAGCCGCAUGGCGAUACGAAGGCGCAAACUCCGGACUCUCUGUAGGGCUAUAUUAGCUCUUCGAGAGUAC